UACGUAGGGUGCGAGCGUUGUCCGGAAUUACUGGGCGUAAAGAGCUCGUAGGUGGUUUGUCGCGUUGUUCGUGAAAACUCACAGCUUAACUGUGGGCGUGCGGGCGAUACGGGCAGACUGGAGUACUGCAGGGGAGACUGGAAUUCCUGGUGUAGCGGUGGAAUGCGCAGAUAUCAGGAGGAACACCGGUGGCGAAGGCGGGUCUCUGGGCAGUAACUGACGCUGAGGAGCGAAAGCGUGGGAGCGAACAGG
RNAcentral lists this ribosomal RNA (252 nucleotides) under uncultured bacterium. Its description in RNAcentral is "partial 16S ribosomal RNA". It matches the Rfam family "Bacterial small subunit ribosomal RNA", at positions 524 to 776 of the family's 1533-position model. The record is from RNAcentral.